GCUCAAAUUUGAAAUCUGGCACCUUCGGUGUCCGAGUUGUAAUUUGAAGAAGGUAACUUUGGAGUUGGCUCUUGUCUAUGUUCCUUGGAACAGGACGUCACAGAGGGUGAGAAUCCCGUGCGAUGAGAUGUCCAACUCUAUGUAAAGUGCUUUCGAAGAGUCGAGUUGUUUGGGAAUGCAGCUCUAAGUGGGUGGUAAAUUCCAUCUAAAGCUAAAUAUUGGCGAGAGACCGAUAGCGAACAAGUACAGUGAUGGAAAGAUGAAAAGAACUUUGAAAAGAGAGUGAAAAAGUACGUGAAAUUGUUGAAAGGGAAGGGUUUGAGAUCAGACUUGGUAUUUUGUAUGUCUUGCUUUCGGGUGGGGCCUCUGCAGUUUACUGGGCCAGCAUCGGUUUGGACGGUAGGAUAAUGACAUUGGAAUGUGGCACUACUUCGGUGGUGUGUUAUAGACUUUGUUGAUACUGCCUGUCUAGACCGAGGACUGCGUCUUUGACUAGGAUGCUGGCAUAAUGAUCCUAAACCG
Molecule: ribosomal RNA, 522 nt
Filed under: Scheffersomyces shehatae
Lineage: Eukaryota; Fungi; Ascomycota; Pichiomycetes; Serinales; Debaryomycetaceae
Description: eukaryotic LSU rRNA
Rfam family: Eukaryotic large subunit ribosomal RNA
Source: RNAcentral